This 836-nucleotide ribosomal RNA is filed under the name uncultured Pseudoalteromonas sp. RNAcentral's name for it is "bacterial SSU rRNA". It matches the Rfam family "Bacterial small subunit ribosomal RNA", at positions 38 to 870 of the family's 1533-position model. Lineage: Bacteria; Pseudomonadati; Pseudomonadota; Gammaproteobacteria; Alteromonadales; Pseudoalteromonadaceae. The record is from RNAcentral.
GGCGGCAGGCCUAACACAUGCAAGUCGAGCGGUAACAGAAAGUAGCUUGCUACUUUGCUGACGAGCGGCGGACGGGUGAGUAAUGCUUGGGAACAUGCCUUGAGGUGGGGGACAACAGUUGGAAACGACUGCUAAUACCGCAUAAUGUCUACGGACCAAAGGGGGCUUCGGCUCUCGCCUUUAGAUUGGCCCAAGUGGGAUUAGCUAGUUGGUGAGGUAAUGGCUCACCAAGGCGACGAUCCCUAGCUGGUUUGAGAGGAUGAUCAGCCACACUGGGACUGAGACACGGCCCAGACUCCUACGGGAGGCAGCAGUGGGGAAUAUUGCACAAUGGGCGCAAGCCUGAUGCAGCCAUGCCGCGUGUGUGAAGAAGGCCUUCGGGUUGUAAAGCACUUUCAGUCAGGAGGAAAGGUUAGUAGUUAAUACCUGCUAGCUGUGACGUUACUGACAGAAGAAGCACCGGCUAACUCCGUGCCAGCAGCCGCGGUAAUACGGAGGGUGCGAGCGUUAAUCGGAAUUACUGGGCGUAAAGCGUACGCAGGCGGUUUGUUAAGCGAGAUGUGAAAGCCCCGGGCUCAACCUGGGAACUGCAUUUCGAACUGGCAAACUAGAGUGUGAUAGAGGGUGGUAGAAUUUCAGGUGUAGCGGUGAAAUGCGUAGAGAUCUGAAGGAAUACCGAUGGCGAAGGCAGCCACCUGGGUCAACACUGACGCUCAUGUACGAAAGCGUGGGGAGCAAACGGGAUUAGAUACCCCGGUAGUCCACGCCGUAAACGAUGUCUACUAGAAGCUCGGAGCCUCGGUUCUGUUUUUCAAAGCUAACGCAUUAAGUAGACC